RNAcentral lists this ribosomal RNA (446 nucleotides) under uncultured bacterium. Its description in RNAcentral is "SSU rRNA". It matches the Rfam family "Bacterial small subunit ribosomal RNA", at positions 26 to 518 of the family's 1533-position model. The record is from RNAcentral.
AGAGCGAACGCUGGCGGCAGGCCUAACACAUGCAAGUCGAGCGCCCGUAGCAAUACGGGAGCGGCAGACGGGAUAGUAACACGUGGGAACGCGCCCUUCGGUUCGGAAUAACUCAGGGAAACUUGAGCUAAUACCGAAUACGCCCUUACGGGGAAAGAUUUAUUGCCGAAGGAACGGCCCGCGUCCGAUUAGCUAGUUGGUGAGGUAAUGGCUCACCAAGGCUACGAUCGGUAGCUGGUCUGAGAGGAUGACCAGCAUCACUGGGACUGAGACACGGCCCAGACUCCUACGGGAGGCAGCAGUGGGGAAUAUGGACAAUGGGCGCAAGCCUGAUCCAGCCAUGCCGCGUGGAUGAUGAAGGCCUUAGGGUGUAAAGCACUUUCACACGUGACGAUGAUGACGGUAACGUGAGAAGAAGCCCCGGCUAACUUCGCGCCAGCAGCCGC